This 469-nucleotide ribosomal RNA is filed under the name uncultured soil bacterium. RNAcentral's name for it is "bacterial SSU rRNA". It matches the Rfam family "Bacterial small subunit ribosomal RNA", at positions 60 to 519 of the family's 1533-position model. The record is from RNAcentral.
AGUCGUGGGGGCAGCAGGUUUGUAGCAAUACANNNNNNGGCGACCGGCAAACGGGUGCGGAACACGUACACAACCUUCCUUUAAGUGGGGAAUAGCCUAAGGAAACUUGGAUUAAUACCCCGUAAUAUUAUGAAGUGGCAUCACUUUAUAAUUAUAGCUCCGGCGCUUAAUGAUGGGUGUGCGGCUGAUUAGAUAGUUGGCGGGGUAACGGCCCACCAAGUCUGCGAUCAGUAACUGGUGUGAGAGCACGACCAGUCACACGGGCACUGAGACACGGGCCCGACUCCUACGGGAGGCAGCAGUAAGGAAUAUUGGUCAAUGGACGCAAGUCUGAACCAGCCAUGCCGCGUGGAGGAUGAAGGCCCUCUGGGUUGUAAACUUCUUUUAUCUGGGACGAAAAAGGGACUUUCUAGUUCAACUGACGGUACCAGAGGAAUAAGCACCGGCUAACUCCGUGCCAGCAGCCGCG